AGGACGAACGCUGGCGGCGUGCCUAACACAUGCAAGUCGAGCGGGGUCCAUCCAGUGGCAACACUGGUGAAGACCUAGCGGCGAACGGGUGAGUAACACGUGAGAAACCUGCCCUGAAGUCUGGGAUAACCCGAGGAAACUCGAGCUAAUACCGGAUGUCCCCACCGAGCCGCAUGGUUUGGUGAGGAAAGAUUUAUCGCUUCAGGAGGGUCUCGCGGCCUAUCAGCUAGUUGGCGGGGUAACGGCCCACCAAGGCAUCGACGGGUAGCUGGUCUGAGAGGACGAUCAGCCACACUGGGACUGAGACACGGCCCAGACUCCUACGGGAGGCAGCAGUGGGGAAUAUUGCGCAAUGGGCGAAAGCCUGACGCAGCAACGCCGCGUGCGGGAUGAAGGCCUUCGGGUUGUAAACCGCUUUCAGUGGGACGAAAACGAGACGGUACCCACAGAAGAACGCCCGGCCAACUACGUGCCAGCAGCCGCGGU
Molecule: ribosomal RNA, 486 nt
Filed under: uncultured bacterium
Lineage: Bacteria
Description: SSU rRNA
Rfam family: Bacterial small subunit ribosomal RNA
Source: RNAcentral